CGGAGGUUACUGCUAUCGAGGUUCGACUAAGCCAUGCGAGUCGAAUGUAGCAAUACAUGGAGAACUGCUCAGUAACACGUGGACAACCUGCCCUUAGGACGGGGAUAAACCCGGGAAACUGGGUAUAAUACCCGAUAGGUCUCGAUUGCUGGAAUGCAUCGAGAUUUAAAGCUCCGGCGCCUAAGGAUGGGUCUGCGGCCUAUCAGGUAGUAGUGGGUGUAGCGUACCUACUAGCCUACGACGGGUACGGGUUGUGAGAGCAAGAGCCCGGAGAUGGAUUCUGAGACACGAAUCCAGGCCCUACGGGGUGCAGCAGGCGCGAAAACUUUACAAUGCUGGCAACAGCGAUAAGGGAACCUCGAGUGCCAGGUUACAAAUCUGGCUGUCGAGAUGCCUAAAAAGCAUUUCAUAGCAAGGGCCGGGCAAGACCGGUGCCAGCCGCCGCGGUAACACCGGCGGCUCGAGUGGUAACCGUUAUUAUUGGGUCUAAAGGGUCUGUAGCCGGCCGGAUAAGUCUCUUGAGAAAUCUGGCAGCUUAACUGUCAGGCUUUCAGGAGAUACUGUCUGGCUCGAGGCCGGGAGAAGUGAGAGGUACUUCAGGGGUAGGGGUGAAAUCUUGUAAUCCUUGAAGGACCACCAGUGGCGAAGGCGUCUCACCAGGACGGACCUGACGGCAAGGGACGAAAGCUAGGGGCACGAACCGGAUUAGAUACCCGGGUAGUCCUAGCCGUAAACGAUACUCGCUAGGUGUCGGCCACGGUGCGACCGUUGUCGGUGCCGUAGGGAAGCCGUGAAGCGAGCCACCUGGGAAGUACGGCCGCAAGGCUGAAACUUAAAGGAAUUGGCGGGGGAGCACCACAACGGGUGGAGCUUGCGGUUUAAUUGGAUUCAACGCCGGG
RNAcentral lists this ribosomal RNA (899 nucleotides) under uncultured archaeon. RNAcentral's name for it is "bacterial SSU rRNA". It matches the Rfam family "Archaeal small subunit ribosomal RNA", at positions 18 to 922 of the family's 1478-position model. The record is from RNAcentral.